AGCGGCGGACGGGUGAGUAACGCGUGGGUAACCUGCCUCAUACAGGGGGAUGACAGUUGGAAACGGCUGCUAAUACCGCAUAAGCGCACAGUACCGCAUGGUACGGUGUGAAAAACUCCGGUGGUAUGAGAUGGACCCGCGUCUGAUUAGGUAGUUGGUGGGGUAACGGCCUACCAAGCCGACGAUCAGUAGCCGACCUGAGAGGGUGACCGGCCACAUUGGGACUGAGACACGGCCCAA
RNAcentral lists this ribosomal RNA (240 nucleotides) under uncultured bacterium. RNAcentral's name for it is "partial 16S ribosomal RNA". It matches the Rfam family "Bacterial small subunit ribosomal RNA", at positions 94 to 334 of the family's 1533-position model. The record is from RNAcentral.